UGCACAUCAGGGACAUCCCAGAUGCUCGUCCCCUCCCAGGCUCUCCUCAAUCUUUAAAAAAUAUAAGAUUGAGGAGAGCCUGGGAGGGGACGAGCAUCUGGGAUGUCCCUGAUGU
This 115-nucleotide microRNA precursor is filed under the name Marmota monax (woodchuck). Lineage: Eukaryota; Metazoa; Chordata; Mammalia; Rodentia; Sciuridae. The record is from RNAcentral.